UACCUCAGUAACGGCGAGUGAAGCGGUAAUAGCUCAAAUUUGAAAUCUGGCCCUUUCAGGGUCCGAGUUGUAAUUUGCAGAGGGCGCUUUGGAGUCGGCAGCAGCCUAAGUUCCUUGGAACAGGUCAUCAUGGAGGGUGAGAAUCCCGUAUGUGGCUGCUUGCCUUCGCCGUGUAAAGCCCCUUCGAUGAGUCGAGUUGUUUGGGAAUGCAGCUCUAAAUGGGAGGUAAAUUUCUUCUAAAGCUAAAUAUUGGCCAGAGACCGAUAGCGCACAAGUAGAGUGAUCGAAAGAUGAAAAGCACUUUGGAAAGAGAGUCAAAAAGCACGUGAAAUUGUUGAAAGGGAAGCGCUUGCAGCCAGACGUGCCCGCAGUUGCUCAUCUGGGGUUCUCCCCAGUGCACUCUUCUGUGGGCAGGCCAGCAUCAGUUCGGGCGGUUGGAGAAAGACCUGUGUCACGUAGCUCUCUUCGGGGAGUGUUAUAGGGCAGGUGGAAUGCAACCAGCCUGAACUGAGGUCCGCGCAUCUGCUAGGAUGCUGGCGUAAUGGCUGUAAGCGGCCCGUCUUGAAACACGGACCAAGGAGUCUAACAUCUAUGCGAGUGUUUGGGUGUCAAGCCCGAACGCGUAAUGAAAGUGAACGGAGGUGGGAACCCCUCGGGGUGCACCAUCGACCGAUCCUGAUGUCUUCGGAUGGAUUUGAGUAAGAGCAUAGCUGUUGGGACCCGAAAGAUGGUGAACUAUGCCUGAAUAGGGUGAAGCCAGAGGAAACUCUGGUGGAGGCUCGCAGCGGUUCUGACGUGCAAAUCGAUCGUCAAAUUUGGGCAUAGGGGCGAAAGACUAAUCGAACUAUCUAGUAGCUGGUUCCUGCCGAAGUUUCCCUCAGGAUAGCAGUAACGUUUUCAGUUUUAUGAGGUAAAGCGAAUGAUUAGAGGCCUGGGGGUUGAAACAACCUUCACCUAUUCUCAAACUUUAAAUAUGUAAGAAGUCCUUGUUUCUUAAUUGAACGUGGACAUUUGAAUGUAU
Molecule: ribosomal RNA, 1021 nt
Filed under: Seifertia azaleae
Lineage: Eukaryota; Fungi; Ascomycota; Dothideomycetes; Pleosporales; Melanommataceae
Description: eukaryotic LSU rRNA
Rfam family: Eukaryotic large subunit ribosomal RNA
Source: RNAcentral